Long non-coding RNA from Eurytemora carolleeae, 784 nucleotides. RefSeq lists it as uncharacterized. NCBI's taxonomy places the organism in Eukaryota, Metazoa, Arthropoda, Copepoda, Calanoida, Temoridae. The transcript has 4 exons. The record is from RefSeq and is a predicted model, not a curated record.
CUGACGAGGGUCAACCCGGACCGAAAUAUAUUUUCAAUAAAUGUGGAACUAACAUCUACUUUUUUUUCUCUUCAUAGGUUUGGUCUAUCACCAUCACAUUACAUUAAUAACUUCAAUGGGACAACAAUGACUUUAGAAAGGGGUGCUGUUAGCCGUAAUCAACUAUGUCCGAAACAAUGUAAAACCACUGAGAUAGAAGACACAGGAUCGGAAACUGUCUGCCUAAUCUGGCAGAUUCAUGGAGGUCGCAAUAAUUGAAGCUUAAUGUUCAAUGAUGAAUGGAUCGCUGUGGGGUUGAAAAAGGAUGACUAAGAGGCCCUCCUGGGAAUGGAAGGAAUAUAUGGCUUGCUCUCAUGCACUUCCGGUAGACCUCAGAGUUCACAGAUUCACAAAUUAAAAGAAGAAUGAAGUUACAAAUGGUUUCUAUCAAUUGAGCUUUAUACAGGGGCAUUGAAUAUAAUGAAGUAUAACAUUAACAUGUUAUUGAAGAACGAAUCAUAGAUGAUAUUUCACAGAUGGACUUUUCAAAUAUACAUUUCUAUUUUUUUUGUUGCAAUUUUUGGAUCCACAAAUAUAUUAACUAAUAAACCAACAAACAGGCAACACGUGUUGUUGUUCAAACAAUCUAUAUAACUAACAACUGCAGCAGCUAGUGAAAUUGUGACCAAGUUAAUAGAAAUGUAUAAAUAGAUGUUGUGCAUUUCUCGUUUAGUUUGAUAGUUUGCUAAUUAAAGUUAACUUGCAAAUAAUUAAUCUUAAGAUCCGUCAGAGUAGUUCUCGUUUA